Molecule: transfer RNA, 83 nt
Filed under: Alistipes sp.
Lineage: Bacteria; Pseudomonadati; Bacteroidota; Bacteroidia; Bacteroidales; Rikenellaceae
Description: tRNA-OTHER
Rfam family: tRNA
About the family: Transfer RNA (tRNA) molecules are approximately 80 nucleotides in length. Their secondary structure includes four short double-helical elements and three loops (D, anti-codon, and T loops). Further hydrogen bonds mediate the characteristic L-shaped molecular structure. tRNAs have two regions of fundamental functional importance: the anti-codon, which is responsible for specific mRNA codon recognition, and the 3' end, to which the tRNAs corresponding amino acid is attached (by aminoacyl-tRNA synthetases). tRNAs cope with the degeneracy of the genetic code in two manners: having more than one tRNA (with a specific anti-codon) for a particular amino acid; and 'wobble' base-pairing, i.e. permitting non-standard base-pairing at the 3rd anti-codon position.
Source: RNAcentral
GUUACCGUAGCUCAAUCGGCAGAGUGCGUAUCCGGGUCAAGAGUACGUAUACGAGGCUGCGGGUUCGAAUCCCGCCGGUAACG